This 490-nucleotide ribosomal RNA is filed under the name uncultured bacterium. RNAcentral's name for it is "partial 16S ribosomal RNA". It matches the Rfam family "Bacterial small subunit ribosomal RNA", at positions 30 to 507 of the family's 1533-position model. The record is from RNAcentral.
AUUGAACGCUGGCGGCAGGCCUAACACAUGCAAGUCGAACGGUAACAGGGAUCAGCUUGCUGAUUCGCUGACGAGUGGCGGACGGGUGAGUAAUGUCUGGGAAACUGCCUGAUGGAGGGGGAUAACUACUGGAAACGGUAGCUAAUACCGCAUAACGUCGCAAGACCAAAGAGGGGGACCUUCGGGCCUCUUGCCAUCGGAUGUGCCCAGAUGGGAUUAGCUAGUAGGUGGGGUAACGGCUCACCUAGGCGACGAUCCCUAGCUGGUCUGAGAGGAUGACCAGCCACACUGGAACUGAGACACGGUCCAGACUCCUACGGGAGGCAGCAGUGGGGAAUAUUGCACAAUGGGCGCAAGCCUGAUGCAGCCAUGCCGCGUGUAUGAAGAAGGCCUUCGGGUUGUAAAGUACUUUCAGCGGGGAGGAAGGGAGUAAAGUUAAUACCUCUGCUCAUUGACGUUACCCGCAGAAGAAGCACCGGCUAACUCCGUG